Molecule: long non-coding RNA, 500 nt
Organism: Juglans microcarpa x Juglans regia
Lineage: Eukaryota; Viridiplantae; Streptophyta; Magnoliopsida; Fagales; Juglandaceae
Exons: 3
Source: RefSeq, a predicted model, not a curated record
UGGUUAGCUUUGACAUAAAAGGCUAUUAAUUAGCGCCUUGCAUACAAUUUAUAUAUGUUACAACGUCGAUGAUCCAUUGGAUCUCUACUUUUUGUCUACAUGUAGGCUCCACACAUUCAUUAAUGGGGCCGAACCUGAACCUUUUAUUGCAACGAAUCGAGAGAUCCAGAAGUCCACCCAUCCUUCCUGGAUAGAGAUCAGGAUCUGGACCAGGUUUUGCCUCAAUCUUCCACCGAUUUGUUGCCUUCGCAGCUGCCCAAUUCAGCUAGAAAUACCAAUAUUUAAUUGUUGUACCAGCUGUCGAUCAUCUUGCUUCUGCAGCUGUUUAUUAAAAUGUAGAAAGUGUUGCAAUUUUCUAGAUUUAUUAUCGCCAACUUGUUCAUGCUGUCGGUUCAAGAUCGAUGCUCCUGCAAUUGUACAUGAGAGGUCUUGAGUCUUUGCUGAUCCAAAAAAACAAUAUGCUGUAAUAUAAGUCAUCUAUGAUAUUAUCACAUUUUUAA